CUGUUUGCUAGUGAUUUCUACAGACAGUUUACCUGACAGUAAAAGGUAGAAGGAACUUUGUCAGUAUGCACUCUGUAAUGCAAUCAGUCUUGGCCCAACUUGUGUGAGAACAGCAAACAGGAUUAAUAACUAGCUCCGGCUACCUCCUGCUGGCACUAGUAAACUCCUUAUUCACUUUUGCGUUUUGUUACCAAUAGCUAUAAGUGAAUACUCUGUUAAUCUCUAUUAGAAAUUCCUGAUUUAUACGCCAAAGGACACAGGCACAGAAGGCACGUUGGUUUUGAGGGCUGACAUCUUGGAUCACAGUUUUAAUAACAUGUUUUUUUGUUUUUGUUUUUGGCACAUUUAGUAAAUGAGAUUGGGCCACCAGGUUAGAAAGCUGGAAUGUAUGAAUUCCAAAAAGGGAGUUUUCAAAGUAUUACAUUAACCAUAAAAUGUGCGUCAUAUAUAAAACAAAAUUAGCAUCAGAUAAGCAGAUAUAGUAGG
Molecule: non-coding RNA, 486 nt
Organism: Pelobates cultripes (western spadefoot toad)
Lineage: Eukaryota; Metazoa; Chordata; Amphibia; Anura; Pelobatidae
Source: the annotation of a GenBank genome assembly